AGACUAGGCUGAAGCCACCAUAUCUAAAAGUGAUGAAAGCAUGUAAACAGGGUCAACAAAAGUCAGGAAAAGGUCCCUCAGGGGAAGGAACCGAGUCGUUAAGGAAACAAGGGGGCAAAACUUGGGCCUGAGCACAUAGGAAUGCCCUCCCCAAAUCUCACCAACAGCUAAAAAACAAAGGAGUACAUGAAAGGCCCCUCCUCAUCACAAAGCAAGGAUUUGGAGGGAUAAAAGGGGUCCUAAAGCCUGCCCACUUUUUAAAGUCGUUUUUGGAUCCAGACUUGGUGACUUCUAUCCCUGGCAGCCUAGUGAGGGAUGUUGGCUUUGUUGUACACUACCCAGUUGCUUUUGAUGAGAUAAGCAUCUAGGAUGAAUAGAUGGAUGGAUGGAUGAAGGUAGGUAUGUGAGAAGAAUGGAUCCACUAUCUUUUCCUUGAACUUGUUGCUGUUGGAAACAACUGGGUGGGAAAGAAGCAGCUGAAAGAUGGGAGAAUACGUUAAGGACAAAAGCAAAAUUGUCUCACGCUAAGACUGUAGUGGAAAGCAAGAUAAUUAAUAUUCACCAGAAUAAAGAGGAAAUUGCUCCAAGAAGAAAACUAACUGAAAUACCACAAGGAGAAUUAGCCAACCAUUUCUUUUGAAACUCUAUGGAUAUGUUUUCUCUAAAGAUAUUCUAAUGUUCAUCCCUCUUCCAGUAAACUUUGGAAAAAUC
This is a non-coding RNA of Pantherophis guttatus, 711 nucleotides long. The record is from RefSeq and is a predicted model, not a curated record. Lineage: Eukaryota; Metazoa; Chordata; Lepidosauria; Squamata; Colubridae.